ACAUUGAUAGGCAACUUUACAAUCGGCAGGUGAUUUGGACACCUACACUCUGUUAAUUUGUACCCAUAUCUCUUAAAAUAUUGUUUCUUAAUCAGGUAUCAAAAAUUGUACCCUUGUCCAUGUUUAAUUUCCUUUGUAAGCAUCUCUGCCAAUUUAAGUUGAUUUCCUACCAUUCCUUUGCAAGAAUGAUAUACACUUUCUAUUGUUUCAAUGAUCUGCAUGCAAAUUUUUUUUUUUUUUUUUUUUUU
This 248-nucleotide unclassified non-coding RNA is filed under the name Hevea brasiliensis (rubber tree). Lineage: Eukaryota; Viridiplantae; Streptophyta; Magnoliopsida; Malpighiales; Euphorbiaceae. The record is from RNAcentral.